CAGAGGCAAAAGGGGGAAAAUGCUUUCACUAGCUACUAUUCAGCUAGAAAUUCUAGAGGCAAUACUGAGAAGCCACUGAAGCCUCCACUGGAGGCCAUCCCUGCC
This is a long non-coding RNA of Dipodomys spectabilis (banner-tailed kangaroo rat), 105 nucleotides long. RefSeq lists it as uncharacterized. The record is from RefSeq and is a predicted model, not a curated record. The transcript has 3 exons. NCBI's taxonomy places the organism in Eukaryota, Metazoa, Chordata, Mammalia, Rodentia, Heteromyidae.